Molecule: long non-coding RNA, 854 nt
Filed under: Rattus norvegicus (Norway rat)
Lineage: Eukaryota; Metazoa; Chordata; Mammalia; Rodentia; Muridae
Description: long non-coding RNA NONRATT007820
Source: RNAcentral
ACAGUCCUGUUCAGCCUCCGAGUGCAUGGAUCGCGGGUGUGCUCCAUCACACCCAAUGUGUUUUCAUGUUGAUCCCCAAGAUGGUUGUCUGUCUGUCUUGUUCCUUUCUUUUCUCCUUCCCACCCAAGACAGGGUUUCUCUGUGUAAACAGCCCUGGCUGUUCUGGAACUCAUUUUGUGGACCAGGCUUGCCUUGAACUCAGAGACAGAUCUGCCUGCCUCUGUUUUCCCAGUGCUGGGAUUAAAGCAUGUGCCACCAUGCCCGGCAUAUGGUUGUGUGAGUUUUUUGUUUGUUUGUUUGUUUGUUUUUACAGCCAUAUGAAUGUUUGUUUGGCCAGUAAGGGGUGAUCAAGACUCAAUUUCUCUUUGAUAGCAGGCUUACCAUUCAUCACCACUCUGGUCAUAUCUGUCCUGGAGUUUCCAGGUGGGUGAACACAGGUGCUGGGAAGCUUGCUCAAAAAAGCAUGACAGCCACCUCAUGCCUCGCCCCAUGCAUGUCUUCACCUAGCUUGUUCAUUUCUCUCCUAUGCCGCUAGGUAGCUUUAUAUCAACUUGACACAGGCUAGAGUCAACCGAGAGCUGGAAAGCUCAAUGAGAAAAUGCCUCCAUAAGACAAGCUUGUAGGGCAGUCACUUAAUUCAUGUGUGCUGGGUAGGGCCCACACCAUUGUAGGUGAGUCCAGCCAGCCCUGGGCUGGUGGUCCUGGGUUCUGUAAGAAAGCAGCCUGAGCAAGCCAGUAAGCAGCACUCUGACAUGGCCUCUGCACCAGCUCCUGCCUCCAGAUCCCUGCCUUGGCUUCCCUCAAAUGGACUGUGAUUUAGGAUAUGUAAGCCAAAUAAACCCUUUCCUUCCCAA